UCGGAUUGUAGUCUGNAACCCGACUACAUGAAGCUGGAAUCGCUAGUAAUCGCGGAUCAGAAUGCCGCGGUGAAUACGUUCCCGGGUCUUGUACACACCGCCCGUCACACCAUGGGAGUCGGGAAUGCCCGAAGUCAGUGGCCCAACCGAAAGGGGGGAGCUGCCGAAGGCAGGCCUGGUGACUGGGGUGAAGUCGUAACAAGGUAAC
RNAcentral lists this ribosomal RNA (208 nucleotides) under uncultured bacterium. RNAcentral describes it as "partial 16S ribosomal RNA". It matches the Rfam family "Bacterial small subunit ribosomal RNA", at positions 1293 to 1500 of the family's 1533-position model. The record is from RNAcentral.